This 217-nucleotide unclassified non-coding RNA is filed under the name plant metagenome. RNAcentral's name for it is "partial contains small subunit ribosomal RNA, internal transcribed spacer 1, and 5.8S ribosomal RNA". The stretch from base 169 to 217 matches the Rfam family "5.8S ribosomal RNA", at positions 1 to 49 of the family's 154-position model. The record is from RNAcentral.
UCUCCGUUGGUGAACCAGCGGAGGGAUCAUUACCGAGUGCAAACUCAUAACCCUUUGUGAACCUAUAUCUGUUGCUUCGGCGGCUCGCUCUCGGGCGAGCCCGCCGGUAAUAUCAGUAUCUCUGUUUGAACCCGACGAUACUUCUGAGUGUUCUUAGCGAACAGUUAAAACUUUUAACAACGGAUCUCUUGGCUCUAGCAUCGAUGUAGAACGCAGC